Long non-coding RNA from Canis lupus familiaris (dog), 1013 nucleotides. RefSeq lists it as uncharacterized. The record is from RefSeq and is a predicted model, not a curated record. The transcript has 5 exons. NCBI's taxonomy places the organism in Eukaryota, Metazoa, Chordata, Mammalia, Carnivora, Canidae.
GUCUGGAGAGACAGCACAGGAGGGGUUGCCGUGGCUGGGACGGAAGAAAUAGAGCAGGCUGACUGGGAACCCGUUCCAGGCGGUCCUCAGGGAGAAGUGGGGCAGGUGGAAGAAGAGCCUGUUAUAUCCUUCUUUUCAGCUUCAUACAGGUUUCAUCAUCUGAAAAUUAAACUGACAAGGGUAUGUUAUGGAAUCGAUGCUAAAUGCCAAGUGAUCAAUAUCUACAAAUACUCAAAUUAUCUAUCUCUGCAGUCCCCGGAUCCACCAUCCAGAACUUCUGCCUAAAUCAGACUCAACAACAGAGAGAUGGGAGAAAUUUAAAACUCAAGUAUCUAAGAUCAACAGGGAAGACAGGACCUGGAUCAAGGAGCACCUGGCUUACUCUACAAGCGACUCAGCCACAUCACUGCUGGGGUAGAGGGGCCUGCACCAGCCCAGCGUCUGAACUGGCUUCUGGCAACUGAAGGACCCCUAGUCCUCUUAAGUACUUGCUAGACAGAAUUUAAUUCCCAAAAAGCCAAAUUUCUUAUAAAAUACCAGCUCCCAUCAGUACCUCGUGUUUUCAUCGUAAAACUUGACUUUUCUCAUGACAGACGUAUUGUACCAAUCACUGAAGACAAUGAGUGAAAGGCCAUUGUGCACAUCCCUCCGCAGCUUGGCGACCUCCUCAGGGAAGUACUCUUCCUCGCUGUCUACCAUGAGCAAAGUUCCUGAGGGACAGAAUGCUGGCAGUGAGUCUGCGCCUCUGAACCAUAGGACUCAGGUCAGAAAAACACUAUUUCGCUGGUAUCCAUGUCUCAAGCUCCAGCUUCUAGUGUUUUGUGUGGCCCCCCGUACCCUUCAGGAAGGGGGUGAAAAAGAAAGGACCAGGGUCCAAAACACAGACCCCUGCUAAUGACACCAGCCUCUUUCGUGAGUGACACCCAGGUACACAGAUGUCACUCACUGGAGAAAAAGCAAAAUGCAGCACUAGUUUCUUUUCUUUAAAGUAAAUAAAUAAAAAUGUACAAAUA